CAGUUGAUGGCCGACAAUCCAAGGGGAAGUUGGAUCGGACCUGGCCUCCUCCCAAUCCUAAGAGUGCUAGGGAGAACCCUGGACAAACACAGGAGCCCAAGGUUUACAAGGCAGGCGGCCAAAAAACUCCUCUGUGGCAGCGUUGGGAAGCAGGUAUGGUGAACGGGCCACUGCCACGGGAACAGGACUGAUACUGGAGGUCACCAAUACCAGGACUUCUAUACCAUUCAUUUUUCAAAUGUAUAACUAAGGAACUAGGAUGGUAGAACUGCAUAAUUCACUACGAUGGCAGAAACUUGAAUUAGUAUUAGCUUGAACAUUCGAUGCUUUGUAAGACUAACACCUGUUUUGUAUAAAACAUUACAAUUUCAUUACAAAUAUUCACAAUGUACAAAAGACAUCCUCUCUCAUUUAACUGCUCUCCUUGUAAAGGUUUAACUGCUGUUCAGUGUUCGAUCAAAAUGACAAAUGUCAUCCACAAUUCAGAGAAAUGUCAUUAUCAAGGAUUGCAUAAAUGUGAAGGUAAUCAAAACUACUAUAAAUGUUUCAAUAAACGUACAAAUGCUGUAA
This is a long non-coding RNA of Salvelinus sp. IW2-2015, 570 nucleotides long. RefSeq lists it as uncharacterized. NCBI's taxonomy places the organism in Eukaryota, Metazoa, Chordata, Actinopteri, Salmoniformes, Salmonidae. The record is from RefSeq and is a predicted model, not a curated record.